UUAGCAUAUCAAUAAGCGGAGGAAAAGAAACCAACAGGGAUUGCCCUAGUAACGGCGAGUGAAGCGGCAACAGCUCAAAUUUGAAAUCUGGCUCUUUUAGAGUCCGAGUUGUAAUUUGCAGAGGGCGCUUUGGCUUUGGCAGCGGUCCAAGUUCCUUGGAACAGGACGUCACAGAGGGUGAGAAUCCCGUACGUGGUCGCUAGCUAUUGCCGUGUAAAGCCCCUUCGACGAGUCGAGUUGUUUGGGAAUGCAGCUCUAAAUGGGAGGUAAAUUUCUUCUAAAGCUAAAUAUUGGCCAGAGACCGAUAGCGCACAAGUAGAGUGAUCGAAAGAUGAAAAGCACUUUGGAAAGAGAGUCAAACAGCACGUGAAAUUGUUGAAAGGGAAGCGCUUGCAGCCAGACUUGCUUGCAGUUGCUCAUCCGGGCUUUUGCCCGGUGCACUCUUCUGUAGGCAGGCCAGCAUCAGUUUGGGCGGUGGGAUAAAGGUCUCUGUCACGUACCUCUCUUCGGAGAGGCCUUAUAGGGGAGACGACAUACCACCAGCCUAGACUGAGGUCCGCGCAUCUGCUAGGAUGCUGGCGUAAUGGCUGUAAGCGGCCCGUCUUGAAACACGGACCAAGGAGUCUAACAUCUAUGCGAGUGUUUGGGUGUCAAGCCCGAGCGCGUAAUGAAAGUGAACGGAGGUGGGAACCCGCAAGGGUGCACCAUCGACCGAUCCUGAAGUUUUCGGAAGGAUUUGAGUAAGAGCAUGGCUGUUGGGACCCGAAAGAUGGUGAACUAUGCUUGAAUAGGGUGAAGCCAGAGGAAACUCUGGUGGAGGCUCGCAGCGGUUCUGACGUGCAAAUCGAUCGUCAAAUUUGGGCAUAGGGGCGAAAGACUAAUCGAACUAUCUAGUAGCUGGUUCCUGCCGAAGUU
RNAcentral lists this ribosomal RNA (915 nucleotides) under Stemphylium callistephi. RNAcentral describes it as "LSU rRNA". It matches the Rfam family "Eukaryotic large subunit ribosomal RNA", at positions 35 to 968 of the family's 3401-position model. Lineage: Eukaryota; Fungi; Ascomycota; Dothideomycetes; Pleosporales; Pleosporaceae. The record is from RNAcentral.